AAAAUCCCUCCAAACAGGCAA
Molecule: ribosomal RNA, 21 nt
Filed under: Catinella olivacea
Lineage: Eukaryota; Fungi; Ascomycota; Dothideomycetes
Description: partial 28S ribosomal RNA
Source: RNAcentral